RNAcentral lists this ribosomal RNA (504 nucleotides) under uncultured bacterium. Its description in RNAcentral is "partial 16S ribosomal RNA". It matches the Rfam family "Bacterial small subunit ribosomal RNA", at positions 30 to 523 of the family's 1533-position model. The record is from RNAcentral.
AUUGAACGCUGGCGGCAUGCCUUACACAUGCAAGUCGAACGGCAGCAUGGAGAGCUUGCUCUCUGAUGGCGAGUGGCGAACGGGUGAGUAAAGCAUCGGAACGUACCGUGUAGUGGGGGAUAACGUAGCGAAAGUUACGCUAAUACCGCAUACGCACUGAGGUGGAAAGCAGGGGAUCGUAAGACCUUGCGCUAUACGAGCGGCCGAUGUCAGAUUAGCUAGUUGGUAGGGUAAAGGCCUACCAAGGCGACGAUCUGUAGCGGGUCUGAGAGGAUGAUCCGCCACGCUGGGACUGGGACACGGCCCAGACUCCUACGGGAGGCAGCAGUGGGGAAUUUUGGACAAUGGGGGCAACCCUGAUCCAGCCAUGCCGCGUGAAUGAAGAAGGCCUUCGGGUUGUAAAGCUCUUUCGGCCGGGAAGAAAUCGCACAGGCCAAUACCCUGUGUGGAUGACGGUACCGGCAUAAGAAGCACCGGCUAACUACGUGCCAGCAGCCGCCGUAA